GUGCACGCUGGCGGUAGGCCUAACACCUGCCAGUCGAACGGCAGCACCGUAAGAGCUUGCUCUUACGGGUGGCGAGUGGCGGACGGGUGAGGAAUACAUCGGAAUCUACUUUUUCGUGGGGGAUAACGUAGGGAAACUUACGCUAAUACCGCAUACGACCUACGGGUGAAAGCAGGGGAUCUUCGGACCUUGCGCGAUUGAAUGAGCCGAUGUCGGAUUAGCUAGUUGGCGGGGUAAAGGCCCACCAAGGCGACGAUCCGUAGCUGGUCUGAGAGGAUGAUCAGCCACACUGGAACUGAGACACGGUCCAGACUCCUACGGGAGGCAGCAGUGGGGAAUAUUGGACAAUGGGCGCAAGCCUGAUCCAGCCAUACCGCGUGGGUGAAGAAGGCCUUCGGGUUGUAAAGCCCUUUUGUUGGGAAAGAAAAGCAGCAGGUUAAUACCCCGCUGUUCUGACGGUACCCAAAGAAUAAGCACCGGCUAACUUCGUG
Molecule: ribosomal RNA, 491 nt
Filed under: uncultured bacterium
Lineage: Bacteria
Description: partial 16S ribosomal RNA
Rfam family: Bacterial small subunit ribosomal RNA
Source: RNAcentral